Molecule: non-coding RNA, 23 nt
Filed under: Arabidopsis thaliana (thale cress)
Lineage: Eukaryota; Viridiplantae; Streptophyta; Magnoliopsida; Brassicales; Brassicaceae
Source: RNAcentral
UGCAUUGGAGUGUGGUUUAUCUA